This 458-nucleotide ribosomal RNA is filed under the name uncultured bacterium. Its description in RNAcentral is "partial 16S ribosomal RNA". It matches the Rfam family "Bacterial small subunit ribosomal RNA", at positions 338 to 795 of the family's 1533-position model. The record is from RNAcentral.
CCUACGGGAGGCAGCAGUGGGGAAUACUGCACAAUGGGGGAAACCCUGAUGCAGCGACGCCGCGUGAGUGAAGAAGUAUUUCGGUAUGUAAAGCUCUAUCAGCAGGGAAGAAAUAGCGACCUUUGGGUCGCCAGACGGUACCUGAUUAAGAAGCCCCGGCUAACUACUUGCCAGCAGCCGCGGGCAUACGUAGGGGGCAAGCGUUAUCCGGAUUUACUGGGUGUAAAGGGAGCGUAGAAGGCAGCGCAAGUCUGAAGUGAAAUGCCGGGGCUUAACCCCGGAACUGCUUGGGAAACUGUGCAGCUAGAGUGUAGGAGAGGUAAGUGGAAUUCCUAGUGUAGCGGUGAAAUGCGUAGAUAUUAGGAGGAACACCAGUGGCGAAGGCGGCUUACUGGAUUGUAACUGACGUUGAGGCUCGAAAGCGUGGGGAGCAAACAGGAUUAGAUACCCUUGUAGUC